UACGGAGGGUGCGAGCGUUGUCCGGAAUCACUGGGCGUAAAGGGCGCGUAGGCGGCCUGAUAAGUAGGGGGUGAAAUCCUGUGGCUUAACCGCAGGGCUGCCUUCUAAACUGUCGGGCUAGAGCACAGUAGAGGCAGGUGGAAUUCCCGGUGUAGUGGUGGAAUGCGUAGAUAUCGGGAGGAACACCAGUGGCGAAGGCGGUUGCCUGGAGCUUUGCUGACGCUGAGGCGCGAAAGCGUGGGGAGCGAUCCGG
This 253-nucleotide ribosomal RNA is filed under the name uncultured bacterium. RNAcentral describes it as "partial 16S ribosomal RNA". It matches the Rfam family "Bacterial small subunit ribosomal RNA", at positions 524 to 776 of the family's 1533-position model. The record is from RNAcentral.